RNAcentral lists this ribosomal RNA (509 nucleotides) under uncultured bacterium. RNAcentral describes it as "bacterial SSU rRNA". It matches the Rfam family "Bacterial small subunit ribosomal RNA", at positions 28 to 530 of the family's 1533-position model. The record is from RNAcentral.
GACGAACGCUGGCGGCGUGCCUAAUACAUGCAAGUCGAGCGGGGAUUAUGCUUGAUCGCUUCGGUGAGACGGCAUAUAUCCUAGCGGCGGACGGGUGAGUAACGCGUGGGUAAUCUACCUCGUAGUUCGGGAUAACAGGCCGAAAGGCUUGCUAAUACCGGAUGAGUUCAUGCUUAUGCAUAUAGGCAUGAAGAAAGGGCUAGCCCGCUAUGAGAUGAGCCCGCGUCCCAUUAGCUUGUUGGUGGGGUAAUGGCCUACCAAGGCAACGAUGGGUAGCCGGCCUGAGAGGGUGUACGGCCACACUGGGACUGAGACACGGCCCAGACUCCUACGGGGGGCAGCAGUAGGGAAUUUUCGGCAAUGGGCGAAAGCCUGACCGAGCGACGCCGCGUGAGGGACGAAGGCCUUCGGGUUGUAAACCGUCUGUCUGGGGGAGUGAGAACGGACGGUACCCCCGGACGGAAGCCCCGGCGUAACUACGUGCCAGCAGCCGCGGUAAAGUCACGUCG